AGUAAGAGGAAAAUCCGUCGACUUUCAAGAUCAUGAGGGUUCAAAUCCCUC
Molecule: transfer RNA, 51 nt
Filed under: Elegia ebracteata
Lineage: Eukaryota; Viridiplantae; Streptophyta; Magnoliopsida; Poales; Restionaceae
Also listed under: 2 other names
Description: partial tRNA-Leu
Source: RNAcentral